UAAGUGGGAACUUUUCUGUAGUUUUAGCAAAUUACCAAAUAAAUGUUCAACUUUCUGUUGCAGGUUUCCUGAUAAAUCAAAGCAGAGAGACCUUUACCUGGAGUGGGUCAGGCUAUGUAGACGGACAGUGGACCCCAGUAAUACUGCUCUCGUAUGCAGUGCUCACUUUCGUCCAAGUAUGGUAAAUACUACCAUGCAUCAUGCACAGCUACGUGAGGGAGCAAUUCCAGAAUUGGUUGAUCUACCAAGCCACUUGCAGGUAUCUACAAGGACCAGGUCAACUGUCACAAGUACAAGUGCAGACUUACCAGUGCCCAUGCCUCAACCUGGGCCUUCUACGGAACAAAUGCAUACGGAGCACGCAUAUCCAUUACCAGCUGAAGUUACACCUGACAGUAGGAUUUCUGAGCUGGGAACCCAGGUGGAAUCAUUACGUAGAAAGCUCAAGAACACAAAGGCCAGAGAGAAGAGGGCAAAAGAAACGACCCAAUCAUUGCUGAAGGAGUUGGAAGAAAAAAAUCUGAUAAAUGCAGAGCUUGAGGUUCGCCUGGAAUCUUACAAAGACAUACCAUGUGACCUCUUCCAAAAACCAACAAAGGAGUAUAGUGCUGCACAGAAAAACUUUGCCCUAACAUUACACCUCUACUCAAGCAAGGCGUACAGGUACACCAGAGAGACGAAGGGAAUCAACCUUCCUG
Molecule: long non-coding RNA, 698 nt
Organism: Eriocheir sinensis (Chinese mitten crab)
Lineage: Eukaryota; Metazoa; Arthropoda; Malacostraca; Decapoda; Varunidae
Exons: 4
Source: RefSeq, a predicted model, not a curated record